GGGGUUGUGGUUCUGUGGGAGAGCGAUUGCCUAGCAUGUAUGAGGCACUGGGUUCAAUUCUCAGGACCCCA
RNAcentral lists this transfer RNA (71 nucleotides) under Marmota monax (woodchuck). RNAcentral's name for it is "tRNA.Ala". The record is from RNAcentral. Lineage: Eukaryota; Metazoa; Chordata; Mammalia; Rodentia; Sciuridae.